GCCCCGGUAGCUCAAUCGGAUAGAGCAGCAGCCUUCUAAGCUGCGGGUUGCGUGUUCGAAUCACGCCCGGGGUGCCU
This 77-nucleotide transfer RNA is filed under the name Planctomycetota bacterium. Its description in RNAcentral is "Planctomycetes bacterium (sediment metagenome) tRNA-Arg". It matches the Rfam family "tRNA". From Rfam's summary of the family: Transfer RNA (tRNA) molecules are approximately 80 nucleotides in length. Their secondary structure includes four short double-helical elements and three loops (D, anti-codon, and T loops). The record is from RNAcentral. Lineage: Bacteria; Pseudomonadati; Planctomycetota.